CCUACGGGAGGCAGCAGUGGGGAAUAUUGGGCAAUGGGCGCAAGCCUGACCCAGCAACGCCGCGUGAAGGAAGAAGGCUUUCGGGUUGUAAACUUCUUUUGUCAGGGAAGAGUAGAAGACGGUACCUGACGAAUAAGCCACGGCUAACUACGUGCCAGCAGCCGCGGUAAUACGUAGGUGGCAAGCGUUAUCCGGAUUUACUGGGUGUAAAGGGCGUGUAGGCGGGGACGCAAGUCAGAUGUGAAAACCACGGGCUCAACCUGUGGCCUGCAUUUGAAACUGUGUUUCUUGAGUACUGGAGAGGCAGACGGAAUUCCUAGUGUAGCGGUGAAAUGCGUAGAUAUUAGGAGGAACACCAGUGGCGAAGGCGGUCUGCUGGACAGCAACUGACGCUGAGGCGCGAAAGCGUGGGGAGCAAACAGGAUUAGAUACCCGUGUAGUC
Molecule: ribosomal RNA, 442 nt
Filed under: uncultured bacterium
Lineage: Bacteria
Description: partial 16S ribosomal RNA
Rfam family: Bacterial small subunit ribosomal RNA
Source: RNAcentral